AACUAGGUCUGGAGCAGCAAAGCGGGCGGGGCCGCGAUUUCUCCCGCAUCGCUGCGCCCGUUCUUCUCCGCCUGCGUGAGCACCGCCCACCCACUCGCGGUGUGAACAUACUGGGUCUCGCCUCUCCUUUCCCCUCCCCUCGGCCUGGUGCUGAAUCAUGAGCCCAAUGUCUCCAAAAGGAGAUCACUGCCAGCCUCUUAAUUACCAGAUCCAUGAUCUCUGCUAAUUCCUCAAGACACAGUCUCCCUCUGUUGCCCAGGCCGGAGUGCAGUGGCGUGAUCUCAGCUCACUACAACCUCCACCUCCCAGGUUCAAGCAAUUCUCAUGCCUCAGCCUCUCAAGUAGCUGGGAUUACUGGCGGUCGCCAGCACGCCUGGCUGUUUUUGUAUGUAGAGACAGGGUUUCUCCAUGUUGCCCAGGCUGGUCUCAAACUCAUGAGCUCAAGUGAUCUGCCCACCUCAGCCUCUUGAUGUCAUGUCUUUUAAAUUAAGUAGCUGGCAUUCCCUCUCCCACUUUUCUAUGUUGAGUCCCUCUAUAAAUUAAUGGAAGCUUUUAAAAAAAUUGUGUUAUGCAUCACCAUUCUUUUUAAUGCCUAAAUUCCCCUAAUUUGGCUGAGGAUCAGCUCGUGUGUCCUUUUAACAUUGUCCCUUUUUGUCUUUGAGUAGUUCCCUGUCUUCUGGUACUAGAAAAUGUUUCAGGUUCCUUUGUAUUUUCCCUGUCUUAGAACUAGCAUAGCCAUUUCUCCAAGAUGCUCUGGCUCCUUUUAACGAGAAAAGGUGUUUAGAAACCAAGACGUGGGUGCUAGUUGUGCUCAUUGCUGGGUGAAAAUCACUGUUUCUAGACCCUUUCAGUGGACAUUGCUAGAACGCAUCUUUUUAAUCAUAAGUUUAAUCUACUCUGAAGAAAUACCUCAAUAGUAUGAAAAUAUAAACAUACAUGGUUAUGUAUUACAUUACUUUUUGUUAUUGUAAAAUGCUGGAAACAACCUGAAUGCCCACAUAUAGAUGAUUGGUUGAAUAUAUUAUAAUACAUAUAUGCAAUAAAAUGUUAUGUAGGUGUGAAAAAGAAUACAGAAGAUCUUUAAUACAGAGUGAUUUCCAGAAUACAAUGUUAAAUGAGGAGGAAAAAGUGCAAAUAGUAUACCAUUCCUGGAAAAAGAAAAGGAUAUGAAAAAAGUAUCCAUUCAUCUGUGAAAAAUAAAUACAGCAAGAAUAAACCAGAAACCAAUGAGAUUGUUCACCUAUGGGAGAUGGGUAGGAAUAGGUAGAAAUAAUGGAAGAAUGAGAAGAGGGUAGUAGGGAUUAAGGGGACUGAUAUUUCUCUAAGUGUAAUGCUUUUAUAUAACUCUGAGUCUUAGAACAGUAAUGUUUCACAUUCUCCAGAAUAAGUUUUAAAAUGCUUACUAUGAUGACUAUAAUCAAAAAGAUAAUAACAAGUGUUGGUGAGAUGUGGAGAAAUUGGCACCCUCAUAAACUGCUGAUGGAAAUAUAAAAUGGUGCAGAUACUUUGGGAAAAAGUCUAGCAGUUCCUCAAAAAGUUAAACAUAGAAU
Molecule: long non-coding RNA, 1550 nt
Organism: Gorilla gorilla gorilla (western lowland gorilla)
Lineage: Eukaryota; Metazoa; Chordata; Mammalia; Primates; Hominidae
Exons: 3
Source: RefSeq, a predicted model, not a curated record